RNAcentral lists this ribosomal RNA (108 nucleotides) under Caerostris extrusa. Lineage: Eukaryota; Metazoa; Arthropoda; Arachnida; Araneae; Araneidae. The record is from RNAcentral.
GGCCAUACCAUGCUGAAUAUACCGGUUCUCGUUAGAUCACCGAAGUCAAGCAUCAUUGGGCGCGGUCAGUACUUGGGUGGGUGACCACCUGGGAACACCGCGUGCCGU